RNAcentral lists this ribosomal RNA (640 nucleotides) under Bacillus sp. B-4(2009). Its description in RNAcentral is "bacterial SSU rRNA". It matches the Rfam family "Bacterial small subunit ribosomal RNA", at positions 112 to 734 of the family's 1533-position model. Lineage: Bacteria; Bacillati; Bacillota; Bacilli; Caryophanales; Bacillaceae. The record is from RNAcentral.
AACACGUGGGCAACCUGCCCUGCAGACUGGGAUAACUCCGGGAAACCGGAGCUAAUACCGGGUAAUACAUCGCACCGCAUGGUGCAAUGUUGAAAGUUGGCUUUCUGAGCUAACACUGCAGGAUGGGCCCGCGGCGCAUUAGCUAGUUGGUAAGGUAAUGGCUUACCAAGGCAACGAUGCGUAGCCGACCUGAGAGGGUGAUCGGCCACACUGGGACUGAGACACGGCCCAGACUCCUACGGGAGGCAGCAGUAGGGAAUCUUCCGCAAUGGACGAAAGUCUGACGGAGCAACGCCGCGUGAGUGACGAAGGCCUUCGGGUCGUAAAGCUCUGUUGUUAGGGAAGAACAAGUACCGUUCGAAUAGGGCGGUACCUUGACGGUACCUAACCAGAAAGCCACGGCUAACUACGUGCCAGCAGCCGCGGUAAUACGUAGGUGGCAAGCGUUGUCCGGAAUUAUUGGGCGUAAAACGCGCGCAGGCGGUCUUUUAAGUCUGAUGUGAAAGCCCACGGCUCAACCGUGGAGGGUCAUUGGAAACUGGAGGACUUGAGUGCAGAAGAGGAGAGUGGAAUUCCACGUGUAGCGGUGAAAUGCGUAGAUAUGUGGAGGAACACCAGUGGCGAAGGCGGCUCUCUGGUC